ACUUACGGCCACACCAGUGUGAAUGCACCUAAUCUCGAAAGCUAAACACGCUUGGGCUCGGCCAGUACUUGGAUGGGAGACCGCCUGGGAAUCCUGAGUGCUGUAAGCU
This 109-nucleotide ribosomal RNA is filed under the name Erpetoichthys calabaricus (reedfish). Lineage: Eukaryota; Metazoa; Chordata; Cladistia; Polypteriformes; Polypteridae. The record is from RNAcentral.